UACGUAGGGGGCAAGCGUUGUCCGGAUUCAUUGGGCGUAAAGAGCUCGUAGGCGGUUCAGUAAGUCGGGUGUGAAAGCUCCGAGCUCAACUCGGAGAGGCCACCCGAUACUGCUGUGACUUGAGUCCAGUAGAGGAGCGUGGAAUUCCUGGUGUAGCGGUGAAAUGCGUAGAUAUCAGGAGGAACACCGAUUGCGAAGGCAGCUCGCUGGGACGUUACUGACGCUGAGACGCGAAAGCGUGGGGAGCAAACAGG
This 254-nucleotide ribosomal RNA is filed under the name uncultured bacterium. RNAcentral describes it as "partial 16S ribosomal RNA". It matches the Rfam family "Bacterial small subunit ribosomal RNA", at positions 524 to 776 of the family's 1533-position model. The record is from RNAcentral.